This 253-nucleotide ribosomal RNA is filed under the name uncultured bacterium. RNAcentral's name for it is "partial 16S ribosomal RNA". It matches the Rfam family "Bacterial small subunit ribosomal RNA", at positions 524 to 776 of the family's 1533-position model. The record is from RNAcentral.
UACGAAGGGUGCAAGCGUUACUCGGAAUGACUGGGCGUAAAGCGUGCGUAGGUGGUUCGUUAAGUCUGUCGUGAAAGCCCCGGGCUCAACCUGGGAAUGGCGAUGGAUACUGGCGGGCUAGAGUGCGGUAGAGGAGAGUGGAAUUCCUGGUGUAGCGGUGAAAUGCGCAGAUAUCAGGAAGAACACCUAUGGCGAAGGCAGCUCUCUGGGACGGUACUGACGCUGAGACGCGAAAGCGUGGGGAGCGAACAGG